This 1040-nucleotide ribosomal RNA is filed under the name fungal endophyte. RNAcentral describes it as "eukaryotic LSU rRNA". The stretch from base 469 to 1040 matches the Rfam family "Eukaryotic large subunit ribosomal RNA", at positions 1 to 579 of the family's 3401-position model. Lineage: Eukaryota; Fungi. The record is from RNAcentral.
AUUACAAGUGACCCCGGUCUAACCACCGGGAUGUUCAUAACCCUUUGUUGUCCGACUCUGUUGCCUCCGGGGCGACCCUGCCUUCGGGCGGGGGCUCCGGGUGGACACUUCAAACUCUUGCGUAACUUUGCAGUCUGAGUAAACUUAAUUAAUAAAUUAAAACUUUUAACAACGGAUCUCUUGGUUCUGGCAUCGAUGAAGAACGCAGCGAAAUGCGAUAAGUAAUGUGAAUUGCAGAAUUCAGUGAAUCAUCGAAUCUUUGAACGCACAUUGCGCCCCCUGGUAUUCCGGGGGGCAUGCCUGUUCGAGCGUCAUUUCACCACUCAAGCCUCGCUUGGUAUUGGGCAACGCGGUCCGCCGCGUGCCUCAAAUCGACCGGCUGGGUCUUCUGUCCCCUAAGCGUUGUGGAAACUAUUCGCUAAAGGGUGUUCGGGAGGCUACGCCGUAAAACAACCCCAUUUCUAAGGUUGACCUCGGAUCAGGUAGGGAUACCCGCUGAACUUAAGCAUAUCAAUAAGCGGAGGAAAAGAAACCAACAGGGAUUGCUCUAGUAACGGCGAGUGAAGCAGCAAUAGCUCAAAUUUGAAAUCUGGCGUCUUCGACGUCCGAGUUGUAAUUUGUAGAGGAUGCUUCUGAGUAACCACCGACCUAAGUUCCUUGGAACAGGACGUCAUAGAGGGUGAGAAUCCCGUAUGCGGUCGGAAAGGUGCUCUAUACGUAGCUCCUUCGACGAGUCGAGUUGUUUGGGAAUGCAGCUCUAAAUGGGAGGUAAAUUUCUUCUAAAGCUAAAUAUUGGCCAGAGACCGAUAGCGCACAAGUAGAGUGAUCGAAAGAUGAAAAGCACUUUGGAAAGAGAGUUAAAAAGCACGUGAAAUUGUUAAAAGGGAAGGGAUUGCAACCAGACUUGCUCGCGGUGUUCCGCCGGUCUUCUGACCGGUCUACUCGCCGCGUUGCAGGCCAGCAUCGUCUGGUGCCGCUGGAUAAGACUUGAGGAAUGUAGCUCCCUCGGGAGUGUUAUAGCCUCUUGUGAUGCAGCGAGC